This 151-nucleotide ribosomal RNA is filed under the name Aeromonas media. Its description in RNAcentral is "partial 16S ribosomal RNA". It matches the Rfam family "Bacterial small subunit ribosomal RNA", at positions 383 to 526 of the family's 1533-position model. Lineage: Bacteria; Pseudomonadati; Pseudomonadota; Gammaproteobacteria; Aeromonadales; Aeromonadaceae. The record is from RNAcentral.
CUGAUGCAGCCAUGCCGCGUGUGUGAAGAAGGCCUUCGGGUUGUAAAGCACUUUCAGCGAGGAGGAAAGGUUGAUACCUAAUACGUAUCAGCUGUGACGUUACUCGCAGAAGAAGCACCGGCUAACUCCGUGCCAGCAGCCGCGGUAAUAC